UGUAGUUUAUGAAGGAAAUUUUAGGUCUGUUAAUAAAAGGCAUUGCUUUUCUGCAGAGGUUCUCAGCCCUGUUUGUGAGCUGUGCCAGCAUCAGUGAAAGGAGAGAGAACUGGAGCCCUGGGCAGAGCCAAAAGGGAGAAACUGCAGAUGGAAACUUCUGUUCAGAGCUGGUUAAAGGCACCUCCAGCUGCACUAGUUUACGGCCAGCUUCAGAGGCGACCUUCUCUGACUCUCUGAGGGGCCAAGGCUUCGGUAGCUGCUCCUUUCCUCGGCGGGCGGCUGCGAAGCGAAGAGCCGCCCGGCAGCGGCGCGGCUUUUCGAGGUAGCGGCUCUGGGUUUCAAGGUAGGAAACGUGGGGAUUUCUGUGACUUCGGUGCACUAUAUCCCCGCUCUGCAAGAGCUGCGUGAUGCAGCGCG
This 417-nucleotide long non-coding RNA is filed under the name Struthio camelus australis. Its description in RNAcentral is "lncRNA (ENSSCUG00000003966.1)". Lineage: Eukaryota; Metazoa; Chordata; Aves; Struthioniformes; Struthionidae. The record is from RNAcentral.